RNAcentral lists this ribosomal RNA (251 nucleotides) under uncultured prokaryote. Its description in RNAcentral is "partial 16S ribosomal RNA". It matches the Rfam family "Bacterial small subunit ribosomal RNA", at positions 525 to 775 of the family's 1533-position model. The record is from RNAcentral.
ACAGAGGGCUCGAGCGUUGCGCGGAGUCACUGGGCUUAAAGGGCGCGUAGGCGGUUUGAUAAGUUACGGUUGAAAUCCGGCGGCUCACCCGUCGAACUGGCCGUGAUACUGUCGAACUGGAGGUGCGGAGGGAUGCGUGGAACUUGUGGUGGAGCGGUGAAAUGCCCAGAUAUCACAGGGAACACCGGUGGCGAAGGCGACGCAUUGGCCGCAAUCUGACGCUGAGGCGCGAAAGCAUGGGGAGCGAACGG